Molecule: ribosomal RNA, 552 nt
Filed under: uncultured Lysinibacillus sp.
Lineage: Bacteria; Bacillati; Bacillota; Bacilli; Caryophanales; Bacillaceae
Description: bacterial SSU rRNA
Rfam family: Bacterial small subunit ribosomal RNA
Source: RNAcentral
AGUAGGGAAUCUUCCACAAUGGGCGAAAGCCUGAUGGAGCAACGCCGCGUGAGUGAAGAAGGAUUUCGGUUCGUAAAACUCUGUUGUAAGGGAAGAACAAGUACAGUAGUAACUGGCUGUACCUUGACGGUACCUUAUUAGAAAGCCACGGCUAACUACGUGCCAGCAGCCGCGGUAAUACGUAGGUGGCAAGCGUUGUCCGGAAUUAUUGGGCGUAAAGCGCGCGCAGGUGGUUUCUUAAGUCUGAUGUGAAAGCCCACGGCUCAACCGUGGAGGGUCAUUGGAAACUGGGAGACUUGAGUGCAGAAGAGGAUAGUGGAAUUCCAAGUGUAGCGGUGAAAUGCGUAGAGAUUUGGAGGAACACCAGUGGCGAAGGCGACUAUCUGGUCUGUAACUGACACUGAGGCGCGAAAGCGUGGGGAGCAAACAGGAUUAGAUACCCUGGUAGUCCACGCCGUAAACGAUGAGUGCUAAGUGUUAGGGGGUUUCCGCCCCUUAGUGCUGCAGCUAACGCAUUAAGCACUCCGCCUGGGGAGUACGGUCGCAAGACUG